AGUAGCCGCGGUAAUACGGAGGGUGCAAGCGUUAAUCGGAAUUACUGGGCGUAAAGCGCACGCAGGCGGUCUGACAAGUCAGAUGUGAAAUCCCCGGGCUUAACCUGGGAACUGCAUUUGAAACUGUCAGGCUGGAGUCUUGUAGAGGGGGGUGGAAUUCCAGGUGUAGCGGUGAAAUGCGUAGAGAUCUGGAGGAAUACCGGUGGCGAAGGCGGCCCCCUGGACAAAGACUGACGCUCAGGUGCGAAAGCGUGGGGAGCAAACAGGAUUAGAUACCCGCGUAGUCCCUGUCUCUUAUACA
This 301-nucleotide ribosomal RNA is filed under the name uncultured bacterium. RNAcentral describes it as "partial 16S ribosomal RNA". It matches the Rfam family "Bacterial small subunit ribosomal RNA", at positions 510 to 808 of the family's 1533-position model. The record is from RNAcentral.